GCUGGCGGCGUGCUUACACAUGCAAGUCGAGCGGAAAUAUGUAAUCGGAGAGCUUCGGCAGGAAGAUUACAUAUUUUAGCGGCGGACGGGUGAGUAACGUGUGGGCAACCUGCCCUGUACUGUGGAAUAAUCACUGGAAACGGUGACUAAUACCGCAUGUCAUUGCGAGAGGGCAUCCUCUUGCAAGAAAAGGAUUUAUUCGGUACAGGAUGGGCCCGCAUCUGAUUAGCUAGUUGGUGAGAUAACAGCCCACCAAGGCAACGAUCAGUAGCCGACCUGAGAGGGUGAUCGGCCACAUUGGGACUGAGACACGGCCCAAACUCCUACGGGAGGCAGCAGUGGGGAAUAUUGCACAAUGGGCGAAAGCCUGAUGCAGCAACGCCGCGUGAAGGAAGAAGGGUUUCGGCUCGUAAACUUCUAUCAACAGGGACGAAAAAAAUGACGGUACCUGAAUAAGAAGCCCCGGGCUAACUACGUGCCAGCAGCCGCGGUAAUACGUAGGGGGCAAGCGUUAUCCCGGAAUUACUGGGUGUAAA
RNAcentral lists this ribosomal RNA (536 nucleotides) under Anaerotignum propionicum. Its description in RNAcentral is "bacterial SSU rRNA". It matches the Rfam family "Bacterial small subunit ribosomal RNA", at positions 35 to 564 of the family's 1533-position model. Lineage: Bacteria; Bacillati; Bacillota; Clostridia; Lachnospirales; Anaerotignaceae. The record is from RNAcentral.